GUGGAUUAGAUACCCCAGUAGUCCUAGCCGUAAACGAUGGGCACUUGGUGUUGGGGGUAUUGAGUCCCCCAGUGCCGGAGUUAACACGUUAAGUGCCCCGCCUGGGGAGUACGGUCGCAAGACUGAAACUCAAAGGAAUUGACGGGGGCCCGCACAAGCGGUGGAGCAUGUGGUUCAAUUCGACGCAACGCGAAGAACCUUACCGGGGCUUGAACUGUAACUGCAACUCCUGGAAACAGGGGGUUCUCUUCGGAGACGGUUAUAGAGGUGCUGCACGGCCGUCGUCAACU
RNAcentral lists this ribosomal RNA (290 nucleotides) under uncultured bacterium. Its description in RNAcentral is "partial 16S ribosomal RNA". It matches the Rfam family "Bacterial small subunit ribosomal RNA", at positions 773 to 1060 of the family's 1533-position model. The record is from RNAcentral.